Molecule: non-coding RNA, 2110 nt
Organism: Dermacentor andersoni
Lineage: Eukaryota; Metazoa; Arthropoda; Arachnida; Ixodida; Ixodidae
Source: RefSeq, a predicted model, not a curated record
AUCUGGCAACAGCAAAUCACGAUGGACGUUUUUAUUGUUUCCGUGUUUCUGUGGCAACCACAUGACCACAUCUCGGCGUACCCGGUUUGUCGUCCGCCGGUCUGCCUUGGCAAUCUGUCCGUUUCCUUGUUGACCUCGGCGUGGUAGAAGUUGCUAGGGGCGUUCCUCAUUGUAUGUCGUUUUUUAAAAAUAUUAAUCGCUGACAGCCGUAAACGUAAGGCGCCGAUCCUCAUGACGCUAAAAGUUACUGUAGCGACAGACAAAGCAGAUCUGCUUUGCCGUCUCAAAGUUUUGAUUCAACAGGUUGCUGAUACUUUCGUUUCGUCAGGAAAUGAAUUCCUUAAAGUCGGUGUUUCCGGUGGGAGCAUGGUUGGCAUGCUCACGCAAGUACUUCCAGGUGUCAAGACGGAUUGGCAGAAAUGGCGGUUUUUCUUUUGCGACGAGAGGCUUGUUCCGCUUGAAAAUACUGAGAACACUUUCGGCAGCUACAACGCACAGCUUGUGCCGAAGCUGUGUUUGAAAAGGGAACAAUUUGUGAUCGUCAACACAUCGCUGCCACCCCCUGAGGCGGCCAAAGACUACUCCGAAAAGUUGAAAGUAUACUUUGAGAGUGUCCCCGAGUUUGACCUGCUGCUGUUGGGAAUGGGCCCGGAUGGGCAUACUUGUUCCUUGUUCCCUGGGCACAAGUUGCUUGAGGAGAAAACCAAAUGGGUGGCUGACAUCACAGAUUCUCCAAAGCCUCCUCCAUGCAGAGUGACUUUGACUUUUCCAGUCAUCAAUUCUGCAAAGCUGGUUGUAUUUCCAAUUGCUGGUGCAGAAAAGGCCGACACUGUAGUUGUGAGUUGCUUCCUUCUCUCAUUUGCUUGUAAACAUUUGGAUCAGAAAGAGUCAUUGGGUAUUGAAAUCUAAUUUCAUUUGUUGUUAUGGUGCAAAAAUGGCUGUUGCACUACUUCUGAAUUCUUCAUUCUUUAGUUGCCAAUCACAUGCCAUUUACCCAGUAGGAUGAGUGAUGUAAAUUCAGCCCACACAUGCUUUCUGUUGACCGAAUGUAUACCUUAAUGUAGUGGUAUUACUUCACAAGAUAUCGGUAUGUUGCAGGCAUUAUAAGAGUGAUCAUCAAUAGGUGAACAAGAGAUGUCUUUGGAACCCUUUUACGAUUGUACUUGUCUUUGUCAAAGUAAGCAGCUGCAUGUAGUACUACAAAAACUUAUUCUCUUAACCCCUAUAGAUGCGAAUUAUUUUGUGUAUUGAAAUAUAGUUGUAGCAUGUUUCUUGUACCUUUAGUGUCAUUGAAAACAAGCCAUAGCAGAACCAACUAUGAACUUGAAUUUUUAGGGGAGAUUUGUUGCAUCUGUACACCUCAACUAUAAAAAAAUAUUUCAACUGUAGAAAUGCCAUCAUAUAUUUCCCAUGCAGUGUAUGUUGAAAAUGCCGAACUGCUUGAGAAAUUUGCCUGGCGCGUUCUUAUCACGUGCAAGGAACAAAAGAGUACCUGCUACAUGGCUACACACUGGUGCAUUGGCCAAACACCAAAAAUGUGUUCCAACUCUCUUGUGCCAUGCAAUUUGUGCAUAUUUAUUAAUUUUCCUGCCUUAGAUGAAGUUUUCUAGUGUUUACGAAACACAUUUUAAAUGUAAUUAUUUUCAUUCAUAAUUCUGAUGUCGAGGUGUUAUUUUGGCAUGCACAGUUGUACAUAAGUCCCUGAAGAAGUCAAUUUGUCAAAACUUCUAUAAUUGGUGUGCCAGUGGUCAAAAAACAAAAGAGAAAGAUGAUGAGAAAACACUGACUUCUGCAAACCUCCUCCAUGCAGAGUGACUUUGACUUUUCCAGUCAUCAAUUCUGCAAAGCUGGUUGUAUUUCCAAUUGCUGGUGCAGAAAAGGCCGACACUGUAGUUAAAGUGCUUCACGCAAAGGAAGGAGAGCCGCGCCUUCCAGCGUCGCUGGUUCAGCCCACCAAAGGCGAUGUCGUCUGGCUUUUGGACAGCGCGGCCGCUAGCAAGCUGCCCAAAUGAUGCCUUUUCAUGACACUUUUGUCUUUAAUUAAGCAACGCGUUGUGUUUGUGCCUCAGAAUGGGGCAUAUUGGACUUCCAAUAAAAGUUUUACCUAUAA